RNAcentral lists this long non-coding RNA (1989 nucleotides) under Homo sapiens (human). RNAcentral describes it as "non-protein coding LINC00320:2". The record is from RNAcentral. Lineage: Eukaryota; Metazoa; Chordata; Mammalia; Primates; Hominidae.
UUAAUUUCCCUUUUCAAUCAUCUCCCAUUGAAAGCUGAAUCAUGAGGAUACCAUCUCCAAGCAGGUGGAGUAUUUGAUCCCUUUAGCAAGGCAGUGAUUUUGAAAUUCGGGUUUAGACAAAAAGAUAUUUCAAGCUCCUGAAGAACAAGUUUGAAGGAUUCAGAGCAGAGAAUUGCACCCUGGCAUGAUGCCUAUGCCAGCUGGACUGUGUGAUUUUUGUUCUUUAGUAGAAGGAUAACAUGACAUAGCAGGAAUAAUACUGCCUUUUCUUUCUGGCAUGGAUCAAGAGAAAAGAAAAUACAAGAAAACAGACAGAAGCAAGGCAAGGUACUUCUAUGGAAGGGUGAGCCCUCACAGAUGGAGCAAUGGGGCGCGCACACCUGAACAAGGGAGGGGAAGGAGUUCUUAUCCCUGAUGCAUGUGACCCCUGCUGCUGUGUCCUUCCCCUAUUGGCUAAGGCUUCUGACAGCUUUGGAGAUUGUGACAUUGGAAUAAAGGAAAAACGUACAGGACUCAUGAAGCGCUGAAAUGUUCACAAAUAUCAAGCAAAAGUCAAUGAAAUUUAUUUUGAGCUAUUUACAUCAUUUAAUAAUUGAGCAAGGUAUACUCCUAUGAACAAAAUUUGGAGCAUGUUUGUCUCUCUCUGCCUGGCGUCUUCAGAAUUUGGAAACUAGUUAGUCAUGGAAAUUUAUUUUGAGCUAUUUACAGCAUUUAAUAAUUGAGCAAGGUAUACUCCUAUGAACAAAAUUUGGAGCAUGUUUGUCUCUCUCUGUCUGCCUGGCAUCUACAGAAUUUGGAAACUAGUUUCGUUCCCAGAUUUCCUAAACUUUCCAGAGAAAAUGGUCUUCUCCCUGGCUCAGCAAGAAGAUGAACUUUAAACACUGAGAAACUGGUCAUCUCCCUGGCUCAACCAGAAGAUGAACUUUAAACACUACUCUCAAUGACUUGAUGUUCCCAUCACUACUCCUGUCAUAAAGGGAGGGGACUCAGAUAUUGAGAAUUUUAUGAUAGUGUGAACUGUCUGGUAUGUCAUUUAAGUAAGCCCGUUGCUGAAAUAUUUUCCAUGUUAUUAGAAAGAGCUGAAGAGAGGGAUUGAGAUGGCUUCUUUAUUUUUUGUCUUUUGGGAAUUAAAGGAACCUGGUUCAACAAGGGCCUACACCUAAGUCUCUUGUUGUACCAGAGUACAAUUUAGGACUGCUCCUGAGGAAGGAAUUAGCUAGAAAUCUAGAGAGUAAGGGUAACAGAUUUACAUAGAAUAACAGCCUCAGUAUUUUUGGUUCCUCUCCAGUAAAGAUCACAAAGAAUAUUGCUAAAUCGCUAAAACACCUUUGCAAUAACGUAAGGGCUUACAACUAUAUACCAAUGUAGCUCAGUUACUAAACUGGAGUAAACUAAUUUCUCUUGUGUAGAAAAAUUGGUUGGCUGUGGUUUUAUAGCAGAUCUGCAAUUAUUAAUAGUUAUGCCAAUAAUCGUUUAACAGUGCAUAUGUUAAUAUAUAUGGAAAGACAAUGUGUAUAGACAGAUGUGUAAAAUUGAAAAAUAAACAUAUAACAAGAGAGAAACAUCUAUCGAACAGACAAUAUACAUACACAUCAAACACAACAGCAGUUUUAGUGACCAUAAUAUUUAUUUCUCAUUUUUACAUUGCUUACUUUAGUGACAACUGAAAAUGACAGUUGGCAAUGCAGCUAACAGUUUCAAUAAAAGUAUAAAACAAAAGACUGUGUACAAAGCACCUGUCUUUCCGCUUUUGUAAUCUUCCGUUGGAAAAAAUUUACACACCUAAGUAACCAUCUGUUUUCUUCAAGAAAAAAUCAUUCUUAUUUCUCUCUCUCAUCUUGAAAACAGCUGUCAGCCAGGAGGGCAGAGCUGAAAUUUAUUGCCACAUCACAUGAAGCAUAGAACAGACUCCACUACUCCUUGAGAUUCAAAACUUUGCCUCUCACAAAGUUACCUUUUAUUUUCCUCUUGUUUGUCACUCAUCUCCCC